GUGGGGAAUCUUAGACAAUGGGGGAAACCCUGAUCUAGCCAUGCCGCGUGAUCGAUGAAGGCCUUAGGGUUGUAAAGAUCUUUCAGGUGGGAAGAUAAUGACUGUACCACCAGAAGAAGCCCCGGCUAACUCCGUGCCAGCAGCCGCGGUAAUACGGAGGGGGCUAGCGUUGUUCGGAAUUACUGGGCGUAAAGCGCACGUAGGCGGAUUGGAAAGUUGGGGGUGAAAUCCCGGGGCUCAACCCCGGAACUGCCUUCAAAACUCCCAGUCUUGAGUUCGAGAGAGGUGAGUGGAAUUCCGAGUGUAGAGGUGAAAUUCGUAGAUAUUCGGAGGAACACCAGUGGCGAAGGCGGCUCACUGGCUCGAUACUGACGCUGAGGUGCGAAAGCGUGGGGAGCAAACAGGAUUAGAAACCCCUGUAGUCC
Molecule: ribosomal RNA, 425 nt
Filed under: uncultured bacterium
Lineage: Bacteria
Description: bacterial SSU rRNA
Rfam family: Bacterial small subunit ribosomal RNA
Source: RNAcentral